UUUUAUGGAGAGUUUGAUCCUGGCUCAGGAUGAACGCUGGCGGCGUGCCUAAUACAUGCAAGUCGAGCGAACGGACGAGAAGCUUGCUUCUCUGAUGUUAGCGGCGGACGGGUGAGUAACACGUGGAUAACCUACCUAUAAGACUGGGAUAACUUCGGGAAACCGGAGCUAAUACCGGAUAAUAUUAUGAACCGCAUGGUUCAAAAGUGAAAGACGGUCUUGCUGUCACUUAUAGAUGGAUCCGCGCUGCAUUAGCUAGUUGGUAAGGUAACGGCUUACCAAGGCAACGAUGCAUAGCCGACCUGAGAGGGUGAUCGGCCACACUGGAACUGAGACACGGUCCAGACUCCUACGGGAGGCAGCAGUAGGGAAUCUUCCGCAAUGGGCGAAAGCCUGACGGAGCAACGCCGCGUGAGUGAUGAAGGUCUUCGGAUCGUAAAACUCUGUUAUUAGGGAAGAACAUAUGUGUAAGUAACUGUGCACAUCUUGACGGUACCUAAUCAGAAAGCCACGGCUAACUACGUGCCAGCAGCCGCGGUAAUACGUAGGUGGCAAGCGUUAUCCGGAAUUAUUGGGCGUAAAGCGCGCGUAGGCGGUUUUUUAAGUCUGAUGUGAAAGCCCACGGCUCAACCGUGGAGGGUCAUUGGAAACUGGAAAACUUGAGUGCAGAAGAGGAAAGUGGAAUUCCAUGUGUAGCGGUGAAAUGCGCAGAGAUAUGGAGGAACACCAGUGGCGAAGGCGACUUUCUGGUCUGUAACUGACGCUGAUGUGCGAAAGCGUGGGGAUCAAACAGGAUUAGAUACCCUGGUAGUCCACGCCGUAAACGAUGAGUGCUAAGUGUUAGGGGGUUUCCGCCCCUUAGUGCUGCAGCUAACGCAUUAAGCACUCCGCCUGGGGAGUACGACCGCAAGGUUGAAACUCAAAGGAAUUGACGGGGACCCGCACAAGCGGUGGAGCAUGUGGUUUAAUUCGAAGCAACGCGAAGAACCUUACCAAAUCUUGACAUCCUUUGACAACUCUAGAGAUAGAGCUUUCCCCUUCGGGGGACAAAGUGACAGGUGGUGCAUGGUUGUCGUCAGCUCGUGUCGUGAGAUGUUGGGUUAAGUCCCGCAACGAGCGCAACCCUUAAGCUUAGUUGCCAUCAUUAAGUUGGGCACUCUAAGUUGACUGCCGGUGACAAACCGGAGGAAGGUGGGGAUGACGUCAAAUCAUCAUGCCCCUUAUGAUUUGGGCUACACACGUGCUACAAUGGACAAUACAAAGGGCAGCGAAACCGCGAGGUCAAGCAAAUCCCAUAAAGUUGUUCUCAGUUCGGAUUGUAGUCUGCAACUCGACUACAUGAAGCUGGAAUCGCUAGUAAUCGUAGAUCAGCAUGCUACGGUGAAUACGUUCCCGGGUCUUGUACACACCGCCCGUCACACCACGAGAGUUUGUAACACCCGAAGCCGGUGGAGUAACCUUUUAGGAGCUAGCCGUCGAAGGUGGGACAAAUGAUUGGGGUGAAGUCGUAACAAGGUAGCCGUAUCGGAAGGUGCGGCUGGAUCACCUCCUUUCU
RNAcentral lists this ribosomal RNA (1555 nucleotides) under Staphylococcus aureus. RNAcentral's name for it is "small subunit ribosomal RNA". It matches the Rfam family "Bacterial small subunit ribosomal RNA". Lineage: Bacteria; Bacillati; Bacillota; Bacilli; Caryophanales; Staphylococcaceae. The record is from RNAcentral.